Molecule: ribosomal RNA, 302 nt
Filed under: uncultured bacterium
Lineage: Bacteria
Description: partial 16S ribosomal RNA
Rfam family: Bacterial small subunit ribosomal RNA
Source: RNAcentral
GCAGUAGCCGCGGGAACACGUAGGUGGCAAGCGUUGUCCGGAAUUAUUGGGCGUAAAGGGCUCGCAGGCGGUUUCCUAAGUCUGAUGUGAAAGCCCCCGGCUCAACCGGGGAGGGUCAUUGGAAACUGGGAAACUUGAGUGCAGAAGAGGAGAGUGGAAUUCCACGUGUAGCGGUGAAAUGCGUAGAGAUGUGGAGGAACACCAGUGGCGAAGGCGACUCUCUGGUCUGUAACUGACGCUGAGGAGCGAAAGCGUGGGGAGCGAACAGGAUUAGAUACCCCAGUAGUCCCUGUCUCUUAUAC